UGGGGAAUAUUGCACAAUGGGCGAAAGCCUGAUGCAGCGACGCCGCGUGAGGGAUGACGGCCUUCGGGUUGUAAACCUCUUUCAGCAGGGACGAAGCGCAAGUGACUGUACCUACAGAAGAAGCACCGGCCAACUACGUGCCAGCAGCCGCGGUAAUACGGAGGGUGCGAGCGUUGUCCGGAAUUACUGGGCGUAAAGAGCUCGUAGGUGGUUUGUCGCGUUGUUCGUGAAAACUCACAGCUUAACUGUGGGCGUGCGGGCGAUACGGGCAGACUAGAGUACUGCAGGGGAGACUGGAAUUCCUGGUGUAGCGGUGGAAUGCGCAGAUAUCAGGAGGAACACCGGUGGCGAAGGCGGGUCUCUGGGCAGUAACUGACGCUGAGGAGCGAAAGCGUGGGGAGCAAAC
This 406-nucleotide ribosomal RNA is filed under the name uncultured bacterium. RNAcentral's name for it is "bacterial SSU rRNA". It matches the Rfam family "Bacterial small subunit ribosomal RNA", at positions 355 to 773 of the family's 1533-position model. The record is from RNAcentral.